RNAcentral lists this ribosomal RNA (253 nucleotides) under uncultured bacterium. Its description in RNAcentral is "partial 16S ribosomal RNA". It matches the Rfam family "Bacterial small subunit ribosomal RNA", at positions 524 to 776 of the family's 1533-position model. The record is from RNAcentral.
UACGUAGGGUGCAAGCGUUGCCCGGAUUUACUGGGCGUAAAGGGCGCGUAGGCGGCCUGCUAAGUCGAACGUGAAAUCCCUGGGCUCAACCCAGGAACUGCGUCCGAUACUGGUUGGCUUGAAUCCGGGAGAGGGAUGUGGAAUUCCAGGUGUAGCGGUGAAAUGCGUAGAUAUCUGGAGGAACACCGGUGGCGAAGGCGACAUCCUGGACCGGUAUUGACGCUGAAGCGCGAAAGCGUGGGGAGCAAAAGGG